This 445-nucleotide ribosomal RNA is filed under the name uncultured bacterium. RNAcentral's name for it is "bacterial SSU rRNA". It matches the Rfam family "Bacterial small subunit ribosomal RNA", at positions 355 to 823 of the family's 1533-position model. The record is from RNAcentral.
UCGGGAAUUUUGGGCAAUGGGCGAAAGCCUGACCCAGCAACGCCGCGUGAAGGAUGAAGUAUUUCGGUAUGUAAACUUCGAAAGAAUAGGAAGAAUAAAUGACGGUACUAUUUAUAAGGUCCGGCUAACUACGUGCCAGCAGCCGCGGUAAUACGUAGGGACCAAGCGUUGUUCGGAUUUACUGGGCGUAAAGGGCGCGUAGGCGGCAAUUCAAGUCAUCUGUGAAAUCUCCGGGCUUAACUCGGAACGGUCAGAUGAUACUGCUUUGCUAGAGUGCAGAAGGGGCAAUCGGAAUUCUUGGUGUAGCGGUGAAAUGCGUAGAUAUCAAGAGGAACACCUGAGGUGAAGACGGGUUGCUGGGCUGACACUGACGCUGAGGCGCGAAAGCCAGGGGAGCAAACGGGAUUAGAUACCCUUGUAGUCCCUGAGCGGGCUGGCAAGGCGC